This is an RNA transcript of Salvelinus namaycush (lake trout), 2844 nucleotides long. RefSeq lists it as uncharacterized. The record is from RefSeq and is a predicted model, not a curated record. NCBI's taxonomy places the organism in Eukaryota, Metazoa, Chordata, Actinopteri, Salmoniformes, Salmonidae. The transcript has 4 exons.
CCGUCGGCCAUUUUGGAGGAGGCUGCUAUGAUAAAGCACCCAGAGAUGUCCACCUCGAUAAUAUACAGGUCUUUGCUUCUCGACUCAUCUCUCGCCUCCUCUAACAUGGUCACUGAGAGCAUUAUCUUCAACAGUCCACGCCCAUCAGAGGAGAAUGUGAGUAUUCAGAAGGUGCUCCCUUGUGAUAAAGUUGACAUCCUCCAUGGUCAACCAGUGGAGGAGUAUAUCAUCAAAGCUGAACAAUGCAUCACUCAGGUUAUUCAGGAUGCAGCUGUGACAUAUACUGGCGUGCUGGAUAAAACCGACACUUGUGGGAAACUGUCGGAAGUUCUGUCUGUCUGUGUUUCCGCGGAGAAUAUUGAGGAAGCAUCCUCUGAUCUAUUUGGUGGAAUUAUUUCCGACCUGCAUGAGGUAUUUGAGGUCAAUAAGGCCUCCAUGCGUACGAAAUCAGGUCGCAAAAUGUUCUGGGUGGAAGUGAGUUCAGGUUCCCAGAAGAUUUAUACCAAAACCCUGGACAAACUGAGGAAGCUUUUCACCUCUCACCUUCUCACUGAGGGAAAAAAUACUCCUGUGCAAAUUGAGCUCUAUGACACUGGACUACUUGUAACUGAGACCACUGUGGAGGUAUCUCCUGUACAGAAGACAGACAGUAAUACCUCUUCUAUGUCCUCAGCCUCAGCCCACCAGUUCACCCUCGACACCUGCACUAAAGGGGUCAUCAAACAGGUGAUCUCGGUGCUGAGGUUGGAGACUUCAAAGGAAGACCGCUUCGCUUCCGUUGGGGAGAACACGUCAAAUGCGUCCUUCGACUUCAACCAGAAGUUGGACACGAUCAUUUCGAAAUUGGAGGACCUCAGCAUUUCGAGUGACGUGGCGUCAGCUGAGAUUGCCACGCUCACGCGAUCUCGUAGUGCAGCCAGCAGAACCUCUAACAUUUCCAUCCAGAGCUUUCACAGUGCUGAGUUCCGAGCUAAGGCCAAACAGAUUGUGCGUGAGGCCAUUCUCAGAGCUGCUAGCGAAGCCAACUGUUCUUUGCCACAGAGCAUGCCUAGCAUCACCUUCUCACACCAUGUGGUUUCUACAACUGAAGAUAUAUUGAAUAUGGUCAUGCAAGACCUUGAAAGUGUAUCCCAGUACACAGUGGAGGACACAGACUUCUUCCCACUAGGAGAGAAAAAGCUGCAGUCCCAACUCAAUCCCAGAGUUGUCUUUGACAACUCAUUUUUUGCUGCUCAAAUCAUGUACCACAGAGUAAAGGAUAGACUGAACGUCUUUUUGUCUUUUCCACCCGUGUCAGUCACCACAGCUAAAGAUGUGCUGGACUCCACCCCUGUGGAGACACUCAGAUGCUCGAAGUCCCCUGACACUGCUCUUGUUAAGGACAGGAGCCGCCCUCCGUCUGUGAGAAAUGAGAAGCCAUUUUCAAAAGUCAGUUUGACUAAAAGGUUUAAAGCCCUUGUGUCUUCGAGUGGCUCCUCCACAGACCACCAUGUAAUUGACACAUGCAGUGAGGAUGUCAGUCUGCCCACCAGGAGUAUGUCAGUUGUGAGCGACACCAGUUUGAAGAGAGCCUCUCCUCUCCAUGGUAGUGGAUUGAGUGAAAGUUGUGAACCUCUUGUGGCUCUACAAGACGGAACAGUGGCAGUCAGCCAAGAAGGCUUUAGCAAAACUGCAAAGAAGACGCUCAGCUUGAUCCUAAAUGUGAUCAAGUGCAGAUUGGCCAACUCUGAGAGUUCAUCUGUUGGGCAGAAUGCAAGUGAGGAGUGUCUGAUAGCCACUAAUAUGUUAGACUCUCUACUGGAGAGCCUUGACCUGUUGCCUGACAUGAGCGCUGCCGAUGAGAUCACAAGGACAGAAUGCCAUACCUCUAACGCAAUGGACAAGACAGGUUCACAGUCAGCGCUUGUGAUGACUUCAGCAGAAGAAAAUCUGGAUAGGCUUCUGUCAAUUGAAGCCCUUCAAGAUGCGUCUGGCAACCUGAUCGCAAAGGUCCAUGGUCUCAUUCAGGAGAUAACCAUAAGCCGCCAGCUUCAAUCCAUGACUGGCCACAGAAGCCUCUCUCAACCAGCGCUGCCAAAGCCAGCACUGAGGAAGCUGUCAAAGGACGAUGCGUCAGAGCUCGUUUACAGCUUUGCCCACACUUCUGUUAGCAGACUCCUGGGGCAGUGUUUGGGUAGGCCUAUGCCACCCACUGCUGACAGGGUUUUGGAUCAGGUCAUCAAGUUGAUGACAAACAUGGUGAUGGACAGCCUGACUGAUCUGUCCAAGUCUGCAAUGGAGGGUGACACCAGCAAUGUGUAGUCUUUUCCCCUCUGGUGACAUCACUCAUGGCGUUGUGGCUGACCUUAAUGCUACUGAGGAAUUCCCUGCCAGGGGCCUUAGCCCGGCUGAUGUAAAGGCUGACGGCAUGGCCCGCCUUCCCUCUGCCAGAGGGGAAAAGACUAAGAAGAACAGGAAGUGGCGCUUCCUACCCAAAAUUGGCAAGAUUCCAAAGAUCAGGAUGAAGCUGUUCAAGACAAAAGGGGAACCGAAGAGCCACCCUGAACAGGAUGCGCUGCCUACCAAACGUCUCAGAGAGACUCAUAUUUCACAGAAUGCUGAGUGUGAGGUUCCAGAGGUUCCAUCCACUUCCCCACCCAAGGAGGACCUGACAACCACACUGGCCCCUGCUCCCCAGGAGUGCCAGUCCCGUAAACGCCCUCUCUUAGUCAGGGUGUUACGAGCUAUCUCCAGAGCCGUCUCCAAACCAUUCAGAGGAGCUUUUGGGAAGAAGAAUUAGCCAAAUGCCUGAUUUUAUUACUAUUUUAAUCAGAGCCUUUAUUUAAUAAAACAUUACUGCAUUGA